Long non-coding RNA from Oreochromis niloticus (Nile tilapia), 1276 nucleotides. RefSeq lists it as uncharacterized. NCBI's taxonomy places the organism in Eukaryota, Metazoa, Chordata, Actinopteri, Cichliformes, Cichlidae. The record is from RefSeq and is a predicted model, not a curated record. The transcript is spliced from 4 exons.
UUAAAUACUCACAUGAGCCUGUACUUUGAAUUCUGUAAGAGCUGUGUAAAACACAGCAAUGCAUAAGUGUUUUGAAUGAAUAGAAAUGUGACACAUAGAAGAUGUGUCUGUGACUGUUCCUGUGUAACUUAUUUUCGGACUAGUUGACAAGUUAUGCUCCGGUCAUUUGAUGCUACCAAGAUGGAUGUCCUUUUGUAAUAUAGUUAAAUUUUCUUUGUACAUUUCAUUUAUCCACCAUCAUACAUUAAGCCAAGAAGAGGUCAUUAUACUAACAGGAGGUAUCAACACUGGGCCAAAGUUCAGCUCGUGGUUAAAGUUUGUAAUCCAGCCAGGGUGUAAAUAUCACUCAGCAGCCAGUCGCAGAGAUGAAGCAGCUCCAACAAAAUGAGGAAGAGGAGGGGAGAAAAACAAUUAGAUUGAAUUACAAUUGGAUGGAUGUCGAGGACAAGGAGAAGGAAGCUUAGGAUGAGGAGGAAGGAAAGCAGCAGGAGCAUCUUUGGGGAUCUCUAUGAUGUCAUUGAGAGGCGGCGGUGAGAGGGGAGACCUCGGCUCAUCCAGCUGGAGAGCCUGACCAGGAGGAGUCGAACAUUAACUCGGCUCUUCCAGGGCACCCUGCAGACUCAGCUGCUGGCAUCGGUGGGGGAGUGCGGCCGCCGCUGGGAUGACGUGAACGCCAAACAGGAGUCCAGCACAGGUCGACUGCAGCUCCUUGUCUCAGAGUGGGAGGGAUUUGAAGCACAAAAGGAGGAGCUUGUCGUUUGGUUGGCUGAUAUGGAUGUCCACCUGAGUGAGGUUGACCAGCUGACAGGAAACACCUGUGAAAAACUGAAACAGGUGUGGGGUUGUUUUGAUAUGACAUAUAUUUGAUAUGAUACAUACGUCAGAGACAUUGUCCUAAACUGGACUAACAAAGGACCAUGAGUCCAACAUGAAACUUACCUUACAUAAUGUAAGGCUGAAGUUCAUUGAUAAUUUUAAUCAAAAACUUGUUGUUGAAAUAUUUUUACUGAACAUGCAAACAUCUGCUGAUGAAAAUGUGUUGAUUUAUUGGUCUGUCACGAAGCUAUUGCUAUUUCUAAUGUGUUUUUAUCACUUUCUGAUGUUUUAUUAAUUAAACAAUACAUGUAUUCAUUGUUGUGUUAUCUAUAGAUAUAGUAUUUAUAUAUAUUUAUUUAUAGUAUAGUAAAAAUGUUUAAUUAUUACUGUUUAAAUGACUAAUAUGUGACAUGUAUUAGUAGUGAUGUUGUGCUGAGGUUUAAAAUGCCUUUUUGUCUUU